RNAcentral lists this ribosomal RNA (274 nucleotides) under uncultured bacterium. RNAcentral's name for it is "partial 16S ribosomal RNA". It matches the Rfam family "Bacterial small subunit ribosomal RNA", at positions 523 to 796 of the family's 1533-position model. The record is from RNAcentral.
AUACGGAGGGUGCAAGCGUUACUCGGCAUCACUGGGCGUAAAGCGCGCGCAGGCGGUCUUUUAAGUUGGAUGUGAAAGCCUACGGCUCAACCGUAGAACUGCAUCCAAAACUAUUAGACUAGAGUGUGGGAGAGGAAGAUGGAAUUAGUUGUGUAGGGGUAAAAUCCGUAGAGAUAACUAGGAAUACCAAAAGCGAAGGCAAUCUUCUGGAACACUACUGACGCUGAGGCGCGAAAGCGUGGGGAGCAAACAGGAUUAGAAACCCUAGUAGUCC